UACGUAGGGUGCAAGCGUUGUCCGGAAUUACUGGGCGUAAAGAGUUCGUAGGCGGUUUGUCGCGUCGUUUGUGAAAACCAGCAGCUCAACUGCUGGCUUGCAGGCGAUACGGGCAGACUUGAGUACUGCAGGGGAGACUGGAAUUCCUGGUGUAGCGGUGAAAUGCGCAGAUAUCAGGAGGAACACCGGUGGCGAAGGCGGGUCUCUGGGCCGAUACUGACGCUGAGGAGCGAAAGCGUGGGGAGCGAACAGG
Molecule: ribosomal RNA, 253 nt
Filed under: uncultured bacterium
Lineage: Bacteria
Description: partial 16S ribosomal RNA
Rfam family: Bacterial small subunit ribosomal RNA
Source: RNAcentral